This 497-nucleotide ribosomal RNA is filed under the name uncultured bacterium. Its description in RNAcentral is "partial 16S ribosomal RNA". It matches the Rfam family "Bacterial small subunit ribosomal RNA", at positions 28 to 507 of the family's 1533-position model. The record is from RNAcentral.
GAUGAACGCUGGCGGCGUGCCUAAUACAUGCAAGUCGAGCGAACAGAUAAGGAGCUUGCUCCUUUGACGUUAGCGGCGGACGGGUGAGUAACACGUGGGUAACCUACCUAUAAGACUGGGAUAACUUCGGGAAACCGGAGCUAAUACCGGAUAACAUUUGGAACCGCAUGGUUCUAAAGUGAAAGAUGGUUUUGCUAUCACUUAUAGAUGGACCCGCGCCGUAUUAGCUAGUUGGUAAGGUAACGGCUUACCAAGGCGACGAUACGUAGCCGACCUGAGAGGGUGAUCGGCCACACUGGAACUGAGACACGGUCCAGACUCCUACGGGAGGCAGCAGUAGGGAAUCUUCCGCAAUGGGCGAAAGCCUGACGGAGCAACGCCGCGUGAGUGAUGAAGGGUCUCGGCUCGUAAAACUCUGUUAUUAGGGAAGAACAAAUGUGUAAGUAACUGUGCACGUCUUGACGGUACCUAAUCAGAAAGCCACGGCUAACUACGUG